UACAGAGGGCGCGAGCGUUAAUCGGAAUUACUGGGCGUAAAGCGCACGUAGGUGGCGACGUAAGUCGGGUGUGAAAGCCCCGGGCUCAACCUGGGAAUUGCAUUCGAGACUGCAUUGCUGGAGUACGGAAGAGGAGGGCGGAAUUCCCGGUGUAGCGGUGAAAUGCGUAGAGCUCGGGAGGAACAUCAGUGGCGAAGGCGGCCCUCUGGUCCAGUACUGACGCUCAAGUGCGAAAGCGUGGGGAGCAAACAGG
Molecule: ribosomal RNA, 253 nt
Filed under: uncultured bacterium
Lineage: Bacteria
Description: partial 16S ribosomal RNA
Rfam family: Bacterial small subunit ribosomal RNA
Source: RNAcentral